AGUGUACUGGGCAUGGUUGAGAAAUUCACUCUGUGCUAGGAGUCUGUAGUCAGGGGUGUUUGUGUGUGCGUUAAUGAGUAACCGACUUCGAGUAUCACAAACACCGCUACUGUUCAGAAGAGCGACUCCGAAGUGAUCCCAGUGUACUGGGCAUGGUUGAGAAAUUCCCUCUGUACGAGGAGUCUGUAGUCAGGUGUGUUUGUGUGUGCGUUAAUGAGUAACCGACUUCGAGUAUCACAAACACCGCUACUGUUCAGAAGAGCGACUCCGAGGUGAUCCCAGUGUACUGGGCAUGGUUGAGAAGUAUCGUUAAACUGGUGCUUUUCUGUGGUCGUCUGUACCAGGAGUCUGUAGUCAGGGGUGUUUGUGUGUGCGUUAAUGAGUAACCGACUUCGAGUAUCACAAACACCGCUACUGUUCAGAAGAGCGACUCCGAAGUGAUCCCAGUGUACUGGGCAUGGUUGAGAAAUUCCCUCUGUACGAGGAGUCUGUAGUCAGGUGUGUUUGUGUGUGCGUUAAUGAGUAACCGACUUCGAGUAUCACAAACACCGCUACUGUUCAGAAGAGCGACUCCGAGGUGAUCCCAGUGUACUGGGCAUGGUUGAGAAAUUCCCUCUGUACGAGGAGUCUGUAGUCAGGGGUGUUUGUGUGUGCGUUAAUGAGUAACCGACUUCGAGUAUCACAAACACCGCUACUGUUCAGAAGAGCGACUCCGAAGUGAUCCCAGUGUACUGGGCAUGGUUGAGAAAUUCCCUCUGUACUAGGAGUCUGUAGUCAGGGGUGUUUGUGUGUGCGUUAAUGAGUAACCGACUUCGAGUAUCACAAACACCGCUACUGUUCAGAAGAGCGACUCCGAAGUGAUCCCAGUGUACUGGGCAUGGUUGAGAAAUUCCCUCUGUGCUAGGAGUCUGUAGUCAGGGGUGUUUGUGUGUGCGUUAAUGAGUAACCGACUUCGAGUAUCACAAACACCGCUACUGUUCAGAAGAGCGACUCCGAAGUGAUCCCAGUGUACUGGGCAUGGUUGAGAAAUUCCCUCUGUACGAGGAGUCUGUAGUCAGGGGUGUUUGUGUGUGCGUUAAUGAGUAACCGACUUCGAGUAUCACAAACACCGCUACUGUUCAGAAGAGCGACUCCGAAGUGAUCCCAGUGUACUGGGCAUGGUUGAGAAAUUCCCUCUGUACGAGGAGUCUGUAGUCAGGGGUGUUUGUGUGUGCGUUAAUGAGUAACCGACUUCGAGUAUCACAAACACCGCUACUGUUCAGAAGAGCGACUCCGAAGUGAUCCCAGUGUACUGGGCAUGGUUGAGAAAUAUCGUUAAGGUGUCAAGUUUGGUGAACCGGCGAUAUUGGAACUACGCCGUUGAUGUCACAGUCGGUGAGCCAGCGAUGUGAAGCAACGCUGACGAUGUCAUAGUCGGGUAGCCAGCGAUGUGAAGCAACGCUGACGAUGUCAUAGUCGGGUAGCCAGCGAUGUGAAGCAACGUUGACGAUGUCAUAGUCGGUGAGCCAACGAUGUGAAGCAACGCUGACGAUGUCAUAGUCCGUGAGCCAGCGAUGUGAAGCAACGCUGACGAUGUCAUCGUCGGUGAGCCAGCGAUGUGGGAGCAACGCUGACGAUGUCAUAGUCGGUGAGCCAGCGAUGUGGGGGCAACGCUGACGAUGUCAUAGUCGGUGAGCCAGCGAUGGGGGAAUAACGCUGACGAUGUCAUAGUCGGUGAGCCAGCGAUGGGGGAAUAACGCUGGUGGUGUCAUAAUCGGUGUGCCAGCGAUGGGGAGUAACGCUGGUGGUGUCAUAAUCGGUGUGCCAGCGAUGGGGAGUAACGCUGGUGGUGUCAUAAUCGGUGUGCCAGCGAUGGGGAGUAACGCUGGUGGUGUCAUGAUCGGUGUGCCAGCGAUGGGGAGUAACGCUGGUGGUGUCAUAAUCGGUGUGCCAGCGAUGGGGAGUAACGCUGGUGGUGUCAUAAUC
This is a long non-coding RNA of Eriocheir sinensis (Chinese mitten crab), 1965 nucleotides long. RefSeq lists it as uncharacterized. The transcript has 7 exons. The record is from RefSeq and is a predicted model, not a curated record. NCBI's taxonomy places the organism in Eukaryota, Metazoa, Arthropoda, Malacostraca, Decapoda, Varunidae.